UGUUAAAAUUUUUAUCAAUUUGUACUAUUAAAAAUUGGUGUUGUAGAUAGAAUAAUCAGAUAGUGACAUGUGGUGUGUCAUGCGUACUUCAUGUUGAUGUACAGAGAUUAGUUUUGAACGGUAGAAAUAGAAUAAAUUUUUAAUA
Non-coding RNA from Gossypium raimondii (Peruvian cotton), 145 nucleotides. The record is from Rfam. Lineage: Eukaryota; Viridiplantae; Streptophyta; Magnoliopsida; Malvales; Malvaceae.